Molecule: non-coding RNA, 426 nt
Organism: Pimephales promelas (fathead minnow)
Lineage: Eukaryota; Metazoa; Chordata; Actinopteri; Cypriniformes; Leuciscidae
Source: RefSeq, a predicted model, not a curated record
AAUUAACCAGCAGUAGCUUUCCGGGAACCAUCACCUGAAAUAGGGUCCGACUAAUAAAUGGGGGCACAGCUGUGAACGGCAACAGACAGACGUGGGACAGUUGGAACAUCUGACACCUCAAUAGGAUACCCUCUGGUUUUAAUUUGACCUUCAUUCCAGCGGGUCCAAAGGGGACAGAAGAACAAGAAUGUGUUUAUCCGGUGGAGAGUGGCUCAUGAUGCUGAAUGCUGUCAUCAAAGGCUUUGACUGAGUAUACUACAGAAAUGGAUAACAAAAUCUAGCAAAUAUUAAGUUGUAGUUUAUUUGAAUUAUUGUAAUUUCAAACAGAGAUAUUACAACACUUUUCAUAGUCUUGCUUUCUGUGCAUUUGCUGCAGAGCUUUUGUGGAGGAGCAGGACCUGCAAGGAAAGAUGAUGGCAGCAUUUG